GACGAACGCUGGCGGCGUGCCUAACACAUGUAAGUCGUGCGAGAAAGUUCCUUCGGGAGCGAGUAAAGCGGCGCACGGGUGAGUAACACGUAGGUAACCUGCCCCCCAGUCUGGAACAACUAGAGGAAACUCUAGCUAAUGCCGGAUGAGACCACGAUCCCUUCGGGGGUUGCGGCCAAAGAUGGCCUCUACUUGUAAGCUAUCGCUGAGGGAUGGGCCUGCGGGCCAUUAGCUUGUUGGUGAGGUAACGGCUCACCAAGGCUGUGAUGGCUAGCUGGUCUGAGAGGAUGACCAGCCACACUGGGACUGAGACACGGCCCAGACCUCCUACGGGAGCAGCAGUGGGAAUAUUGCGCAAUGGGCGAAAGCCUGACGCAGCGACGCCGCGUGGGUGA
Molecule: ribosomal RNA, 395 nt
Filed under: uncultured bacterium
Lineage: Bacteria
Description: bacterial SSU rRNA
Rfam family: Bacterial small subunit ribosomal RNA
Source: RNAcentral